GAUGAACGCUGGCGGCGUGCCUUAUACAUGCAAUUCGAGCGAACGGACGAGAAGCUUGCUUCUCUGAUGUUAGCGGCUGACGGGUGAGUAACACGUGUAUAACCUACCUAUUAGACUGGGAUAACUUCGGGAAACCGGAGCUUAUGCCGGAUGCUAUUUUGAACCGCAUGGUUCAACAGUGAAAGACGGUCUUGCUGUCACUUAUAGAUGGUUCCGCGCUCGACUAGCUAGUUGGUAAGGUAACGGCUUACCAAGGCAACGAUGCAUAGCCGACCUGAGAGGGUGAUCGGCCACACUGGAACUGAGACACGGUCCAGACUCCUACGGGAGGCAGCAGUAGGGAAUCGUCCGCAAUGGGCGAAAGCCUGACGGAGCAACGCCGCGUGAGUGAUGAAGGUCUUCGGAUCGUAAAACUCUGUUAUUAGGGAAGAACAUAUGUGUAAGUAACUGUGCACAUCUUGACGGUACCUAAUCAGAAAGCCACGGCUAACUACGUG
This 497-nucleotide ribosomal RNA is filed under the name uncultured bacterium. Its description in RNAcentral is "partial 16S ribosomal RNA". It matches the Rfam family "Bacterial small subunit ribosomal RNA", at positions 28 to 507 of the family's 1533-position model. The record is from RNAcentral.